UUAAAAAAAAAAAAAAAAAAAGUGGGCUGAACCACUGGUCCGGUUCUAGAGCUGGGGAGGGAUCCCUAAAACCUGAGGACCCAAUACCUAAUUUAAAACUCAUGUUUAGAUUUAACAGUAAUAUAUCAAUAUUUUAUUUGAAUUUCAAUAUAACUAAAACUGAAAUUCUAAUGAAAAACAAAGGGAAACAAGUGGGGGAAUACGGAUCCUGCAGAGACAAAGAUGGGGAAUCCCACUAGAGGAAUGUUGGGAAGACAUGAAUGGGGAAUAAUUCUCGGCCCACCCCAUUGCCAUUCCUAGCAGUAUGAUGGAUCAUAUGUAAACUAUCAUGGAUUAAAAAAAAAA
This 345-nucleotide unclassified non-coding RNA is filed under the name Hevea brasiliensis (rubber tree). Lineage: Eukaryota; Viridiplantae; Streptophyta; Magnoliopsida; Malpighiales; Euphorbiaceae. The record is from RNAcentral.